GUGAGCAAACAGGAUUAGAUACCCUGGUAGUCCACGCCGUAAACGAUGUCGACUUGGAGGUUGUGCCCUUGAGGCGUGGCUUCCGGAGCUAACGCGUUAAGUCGACCGCCUGGGGAGUACGGCCGCAAGGUUAAAACUCAAAUGAAUUGACGGGGGCCCGCACAAGCGGUGGAGCAUGUGGUUUAAUUCGAUGCAACGCGAAGAACCUUACCUGGUCUUGACAUCCACAGAACUUUCCAGAGAUGGAUUGGUGCCUUCGGGAACUGUGAGACAGGUGCUGCAUGGCUGUCGUCAGCUCGUGUUGUGAAAUGUUGGGUUAAGUCCCGCAACGAGCGCAACCCUUAUCCUUUGUUGCCAGCGGUCCGGCCGGGAACUCAAAGGAGACUGCCAGUGAUAAACUGGAGGAAGGUGGGGAUGACGUCAAGUCAUCAUGGCCCUUACGACCAGGGCUACACACGUGCUACAAUGGCGCAUACAAAGAGAAGCGACCUCGCGAGAGCAAGCGGACCUCAUAAAGUGCGUCGUAGUCCGGAUUGGAGUCUGCAACUCGACUCCAUGAAGUCGGAAUCGCUAGUAAUCGUGGAUCAGAAUGCCACGGUGAAUACGUUCCCGGGCCUUGUACACACCGCCCGUCACACCAUGGGAGUGGGUUGCAAAAGAAGUAGGUAGCUUAACCUUCGGGAGGGCGCUUACCACUUUGUGA
This 703-nucleotide ribosomal RNA is filed under the name uncultured organism. RNAcentral's name for it is "SSU rRNA". It matches the Rfam family "Bacterial small subunit ribosomal RNA", at positions 764 to 1467 of the family's 1533-position model. The record is from RNAcentral.